Molecule: long non-coding RNA, 84 nt
Organism: Alosa sapidissima (American shad)
Lineage: Eukaryota; Metazoa; Chordata; Actinopteri; Clupeiformes; Clupeidae
Exons: 3
Source: RefSeq, a predicted model, not a curated record
GGUCUCGUUUAGUCCUCUGUGUAUUUCUACCCCCCUGUUCCUCUGUCCUUUGUCGCUUCGUCUCUCUGUUCAUCCUGUCCGAGU